UAGCGGAGAAGUUUCAAAAUUUUGCAUUCGUGAAAUAAGUAAUGCAGGAGUCAUGCUGGAGACGAGAAUCUCCGCAUCGAAAAAUUGUCAGUCGCGCGCAAUUUACACUGUAACAUAAUAACGCAGAUAUUCCGCAUCACUUCACGCACUAAACGGGUUUCCUUCAACUUCAUUAAGUGACGAAAGAUAAGAAUUGAACGAAGCCUUUGACAGCGUUUUUCGUGGCGCAACUGCAGUUGCAUCGUUGAAUAUUUCAGUGCGGAAACUAGUUGUGCAAGAGGCAAAAUAAAAAUUGACAAUGAACGAGGUACGUGACUGCGAUGUAUCCGUCGUUUAAUGAAUAUAAUUUACAUUUUCUACGAGCUGCCGCGACGCUGCACAAAUAGCGCCGACACGACAAGGAAACCGUUUCGAUAGCAUCUCCAGUGCGUGCUCCCAACUCCACCGUGGCGUAUAAGUAAACGCCUUGCCCACUUAGCAUAACACACAUUCAACGAAUCUUUACGGGCGUUCACUUAACAGUUCGCUCAGCUCUUGUUCUUGUUGAAAGCCGCGAUUACGACUUUCAGCCAUUACGGCGUUGACACGUAUCGCUCAAGCUCGCCGAAACGUGGUUGAAGUGCGUGCGUACAUAAUGCAU
Long non-coding RNA from Wasmannia auropunctata (little fire ant), 640 nucleotides. RefSeq lists it as uncharacterized. NCBI's taxonomy places the organism in Eukaryota, Metazoa, Arthropoda, Insecta, Hymenoptera, Formicidae. The record is from RefSeq and is a predicted model, not a curated record. The transcript has 3 exons.